RNAcentral lists this microRNA precursor (103 nucleotides) under Marmota monax (woodchuck). The record is from RNAcentral. Lineage: Eukaryota; Metazoa; Chordata; Mammalia; Rodentia; Sciuridae.
AGGGCAAUAGCUGGGUCAAAUGGUGAUUCCAUUCCCAGCUUUCCCAGGAAUCUCCAUACUGCUUUCCAAAUUGGCUGCACCAAUUUGCAGUACCACCAGCAAU